Non-coding RNA from Cubamyces lactineus, 87 nucleotides. NCBI's taxonomy places the organism in Eukaryota, Fungi, Basidiomycota, Agaricomycetes, Polyporales, Polyporaceae. The record is from the annotation of a GenBank genome assembly.
GCUCUCGUCGUCUAAUGGCUAUGAUAUCAGAUUCCUACCGUGACGGCUAAGAUCUGAAGGUUCCGGGUUCGAGUCCCGGCGGGAGUA